This is a non-coding RNA of Ciona savignyi (Pacific transparent sea squirt), 82 nucleotides long. The record is from Rfam. Lineage: Eukaryota; Metazoa; Chordata; Ascidiacea; Phlebobranchia; Cionidae.
GUCGUCGUGGCCGAGUGGUUAAGGCGACAGACUUGAAAUCUGUUGGGCUCUGCCCGCACAGAUUCGAAUCCUGUCGGCGACG